Molecule: unclassified non-coding RNA, 268 nt
Filed under: Hevea brasiliensis (rubber tree)
Lineage: Eukaryota; Viridiplantae; Streptophyta; Magnoliopsida; Malpighiales; Euphorbiaceae
Source: RNAcentral
GUUCAUUUUAAAUCUCAUGCUGCAUCAACAGACUUUCGGCUUCAUACAAAUGGCAACAAACCUAAAAGGCAUAAACGUUUUUUCUGACUCUCUACCAUACAAACUCUUGAUUAGCAGCACCAUACCUUUAAAGGCAUACAGAAGCAUCAAGUAGAAUUUCCGUAACAUAUGCUUAAAACAAAGUAACUUGUUACUGAAGCCAUAGUUAAUUUUUUUAAAGCACCAGACCACUAAUUUAUGCUCUGAACAAUUGAUGCAUGGUUUCCCA